RNAcentral lists this ribosomal RNA (1523 nucleotides) under Eubacteriales bacterium SKADARSKE-1. RNAcentral describes it as "bacterial SSU rRNA". It matches the Rfam family "Bacterial small subunit ribosomal RNA". Lineage: Bacteria; Bacillati; Bacillota; Clostridia; Eubacteriales. The record is from RNAcentral.
UUUGGAGAGUUUGAUCCUGGCUCAGGACGAACGCUGGCGGCGUGCCUAACACAUGCAAGUCGAACGGGGAUAUUAAAAGAGCUUGCUCUUUUAAUAUCCUAGUGGCGGACGGGUGAGUAACGCGUGAGUAACCUGCCUUUUUGAGGGGGAUAACAUCGGGAAACCGAUGCUAAUACCGCAUAAUGUAUUAUUUCCGCAUGGAAAAAAUACCAAAGGAGCAAUCCACAAAAAGAUGGACUCGCGUCCGAUUAGCCAGUUGGUGGGGUAACGGCCCACCAAAGCUACGAUCGGUAGCCGGGUUGAGAGACUGAACGGCCACAUUGGGACUGAGACACGGCCCAGACUCCUACGGGAGGCAGCAGUGGGGGAUAUUGCACAAUGGAGGAAACUCUGAUGCAGCAACGCCGCGUGAGGGAAGAAGGUUUUCGGAUUGUAAACCUCUGUCCAAAGGGAAGAAAUAAAUGACGGUACCUUUGGAGGAAGCUCCGGCUAACUACGUGCCAGCAGCCGCGGUAAUACGUAGGGAGCGAGCGUUGUCCGGAAUUACUGGGUGUAAAGGGUGCGUAGGCGGCCAUGUGGGUCAGACGUGAAAUGCACGAGCUUAACUCGUGAACUGCGUUUGAAACUAUAUGGCUUGAGUAAAGUAGAGGCAGGCGGAAUUUCCGGUGUAGCGGUGAAAUGCGUAGAGAUCGGAAGGAACACCAGUGGCGAAGGCGGCCUGCUGGGCUUUUACUGACGCUGAGGCACGAAAGCAUGGGGAGCAAACAGGAUUAGAUACCCUGGUAGUCCAUGCUGUAAACGAUGAUUACUAGGUGUGGGGGGUCUGACCCCUUCCGUGCCGCAGUUAACACAAUAAGUAAUCCACCUGGGAAGUACGAUCGCAAGAUUGAAACUCAAAGGAAUUGACGGGGGCCCGCACAAGCAGUGGAGUAUGUGGUUUAAUUCGAAGCAACGCGAAGAACCUUACCAGGUCUUGACAUCCUAGGAAUCCUUAAGAGAUUAGGGAGUGCCUUCGGGAACCUAGAGACAGGUGGUGCAUGGUUGUCGUCAGCUCGUGUCGUGAGAUGUUGGGUUAAGUCCCGCAACGAGCGCAACCCUUGCUGUUAGUUGCUACAUUUAGUUGAGCACUCUAGCAGGACUGCCGUUGACAAAACGGAGGAAGGUGGGGACGACGUCAAAUCAUCAUGCCCCUUAUGACCUGGGCUACACACGUACUACAAUGGCCGUAAACAGAGGGAAGCAAUACCGCGAGGUGGAGCCAACCCCUAAAAGCGGUCUCAGUUCAGAUUGCAGGCUGAAACUCGCCUGCAUAAAGACGGAAUUGCUAGUAAUCGCGGAUCAGCAUGCCGCGGUGAAUACGUUCCCGGGCCUUGUACACACCGCCCGUCACACCAUGGGAGCCGGUAAUACCCGAAGUCAGUAGUUUAACCGCAAGGAAGACGCUGCCGAAGGUAGGAUUGGCGACUGGGGUGAAGUCGUAACAAGGUAGCCGUAUCGGAAGGUGCGGCUGGAUCACCUCCUUU